CAGUAGCCGCGGUAAUACGAAGGGUGCAAGCGUUAAUCGGAAUUACUGGGCGUAAAGCAUGCGUAGGCGGUGAGUUAAGUCUGCUGUGAAAUCCCCGGGCUCAACCUGGGAAUGGCAGUGGAUACUGGCUCGCUAGAGUGUGUCAGAGGAUGGUGGAAUUCCCGGUGUAGCGGUGAAAUGCGUAGGGAUCGGGAGGAACAUCAGUGGCGAAGGCGGCCAUCUGGAACAACACUGACGCUGAGGCACGAAAGCGUGGGGAGCAAACAGGAUUAGAUACCCCGGUAGUCCCUGUCUCUUAUAA
RNAcentral lists this ribosomal RNA (301 nucleotides) under uncultured bacterium. RNAcentral's name for it is "partial 16S ribosomal RNA". It matches the Rfam family "Bacterial small subunit ribosomal RNA", at positions 509 to 809 of the family's 1533-position model. The record is from RNAcentral.